RNAcentral lists this RNase P RNA (374 nucleotides) under Nocardioides sp. Root614. Its description in RNAcentral is "Bacterial RNase P class A". It matches the Rfam family "Bacterial RNase P class A". Rfam says of the family: Ribonuclease P (RNase P) is a ubiquitous endoribonuclease, found in archaea, bacteria and eukarya as well as chloroplasts and mitochondria. Its best characterised activity is the generation of mature 5'-ends of tRNAs by cleaving the 5'-leader elements of precursor-tRNAs. Cellular RNase Ps are ribonucleoproteins. The record is from Rfam by way of RNAcentral. RNAcentral also lists the same sequence under 1 other name. Lineage: Bacteria; Bacillati; Actinomycetota; Actinomycetes; Propionibacteriales; Nocardioidaceae.
CGGGCUGGUCGGGCGACCGCGUGAUCUCCGCCGUGAGGCGACAGGUCCCGAGGAAAGUCCGGGCUCCACAGAGCAGGGUGGUGGGUAACACCCACCCGGGGUGACCCGCGGGAAAGUGCCACAGAAAACAGACCGCCGCCGCUCUCCGGAGCAGCGGUAAGGGUGAAACGGUGGGGCAAGAGCCCACCAGUGCCUCGGGUGACCGGGGCAGCUAGGCAAACCCCACCCGGAGCAAGACCAGACAGCACGCGUUCGAGGGCUGCUCGCCCGAGCGUGCGGGUAGGUUGCUGGAGGCUGUCGGCAACGGCAGCCGUAGAUGGAUGGUCGCCGGCUCGAAAGAGUCACAGAACCCGGCUUACAGACCAGCCCGUCCA